GACGAACCUUGCUACCGUUAUUCGGAAUGACUGGGCGUAAAGGGCGCGUAGGCGGUUUGUACAGUCAGGUGUGAAAUUCCCGGGCUCAACCUGGGGGCUGCACUUGAUACGUAGGAACUGGAGUGGGGAAGAGGGUCGUGGAAUUCCCAGUGUAGAGGUGAAAUUCGUAGAUAUUGGGAAGAACACCGGUGGCGAAGGCGGCGACCUGGUCCUUGACUGACGCUGAGGCGCGAAAGCGUGGGGAGCAAACAGG
Molecule: ribosomal RNA, 253 nt
Filed under: uncultured bacterium
Lineage: Bacteria
Description: partial 16S ribosomal RNA
Rfam family: Bacterial small subunit ribosomal RNA
Source: RNAcentral